RNAcentral lists this ribosomal RNA (22 nucleotides) under Perkinsus olseni. RNAcentral's name for it is "large subunit ribosomal RNA". Lineage: Eukaryota; Perkinsozoa; Perkinsida; Perkinsidae. The record is from RNAcentral.
UAGUGAUAGUGUAAUAGCUCCU